CUUUUGGGUCAGACUUAAAAUGCUUGUCUACCUUUUUGAGACAGUGCCUGCGUGCUUUUUCAGUUUUUGUUUUGUUUUUCUCUCCCUUGGAAUCCCCCCUGCAGACGGUGUGAUGAGCUGCCAGCCAAUUUAAAUUAAUUUUGCUAAAUUAGGAAGAAGUGAAUGUCACUUUUUGAGACAGCAGAAUUUCUCCUCCAGAUCCCCAGAAAUAACUCAGGAGAACGAUUAGUUUGUAAGAGAUUCCCGAGGAAAACGGCCCAGAAGUGGAGAAACAGUUUGGUGAACUUUGAUGGCCCAGUCAGCAGUCCCAGCAUACUGACAAGAGUACCCGAAAACUUAGAAAGUAAUAUAAAGACUACCUGGAAAUGUUCAAUGAAGCAUUCUGAUGUAUACCUACGUCUCCCUCCAACUUUCUGA
This 417-nucleotide long non-coding RNA is filed under the name Fukomys damarensis (Damara mole-rat). RNAcentral's name for it is "lncRNA (ENSFDAG00000030086.1)". Lineage: Eukaryota; Metazoa; Chordata; Mammalia; Rodentia; Bathyergidae. The record is from RNAcentral.